AAAAAUUUAAUUAAAUAUAUUAAAGUAGUAAUAGCUAUGUUCUUGAAAUUUAAAAAAUUUGGCGGUAUUUUAGUCUAUUCAGAGGAACCUGUUUUGUAAUCGAUAAUCCACGUUGUACCUUACUUAAUCUUGUUUUAAAUAAUAAAAUAAUUAAAAUUAGUUUAUAUAUCGUUGUUUAUAGAAUAUUUUAUAAAAAUAAUAAUUUUCAAAAUUUUAUAUUAAAAAUUAUAUCAGAUCAAGAUGUAGCUUAUGUUUAAGUUUAUAAUGGGUUACAAUUAUUUUAGUUAUUGGAAAUUAAUUUAAAAUAAGUUAUUAGAAAUUGGAUUUGAAAGUAAAUUUAUAUAGAUAAGUAAAUUGAUUUUAGCUCUAAAAUAUG
Molecule: ribosomal RNA, 376 nt
Filed under: Cephalops pacatus
Lineage: Eukaryota; Metazoa; Arthropoda; Insecta; Diptera; Pipunculidae
Description: partial 12S ribosomal RNA
Source: RNAcentral